UACGAAGGGGACUAGCGUUGUUCGGAAUUACUGGGCGUAAAGCGCACGUAGGCGGAUUCGUAAGUCAGGGGUGAAAUCCCGGGGCUCAACCUCGGAACUGCCUUUGAUACUGCGGAUCUCGAGUCCGAUAGAGGUGGGUGGAAUUCCUAGUGUAGAGGUGAAAUUCGUAGAUAUUCGCAAGAACACCAGUGGCGAAGGCGGCUCACUGGCCCGAUACUGACGCUGAGGCACGAAAGCGUGGGGAGCAAACAGG
This 253-nucleotide ribosomal RNA is filed under the name uncultured bacterium. RNAcentral describes it as "partial 16S ribosomal RNA". It matches the Rfam family "Bacterial small subunit ribosomal RNA", at positions 524 to 776 of the family's 1533-position model. The record is from RNAcentral.